This 405-nucleotide ribosomal RNA is filed under the name uncultured bacterium. RNAcentral's name for it is "partial 16S ribosomal RNA". It matches the Rfam family "Bacterial small subunit ribosomal RNA", at positions 28 to 526 of the family's 1533-position model. The record is from RNAcentral.
GAUGAACGCUGGCGGCGUGCCUAAUACAUGCAAGUCGAGCGAAGCGGGGACGGGUGAGUAACACGUGGAUAACCCCCUAUAAGACUGGGAUAACUUCGGGAAAACGGAGCUAAACCGGAUACUUAUCGAUGGAUCCGUGAGGCAUUAGCUAGUGGGUAAGGUAACGGCGUAACAAGGCAACGAUGCAUAGCCGACCUGAGAGGGUGAUCGGCCACACUGGGACUGAGACACGGGCCAGACUCCUACGGGAGGCAGCAGUAGGGAAUCUUCCGCAAUGGGCGAAAGCCUGACGGAGCCACGCCGCGUGAGUGAAGAAGGUCUUCGGGUCGUAAAACUCUGUCAUUAGGGAAGCGGUACCUAAUCAGAAAGCCACGGCUAACUACGUGCCAGCAGCCGCGGUAAUUC